This 301-nucleotide ribosomal RNA is filed under the name uncultured bacterium. RNAcentral describes it as "partial 16S ribosomal RNA". It matches the Rfam family "Bacterial small subunit ribosomal RNA", at positions 509 to 807 of the family's 1533-position model. The record is from RNAcentral.
CAGCCGCCACGGGAAUACGUAGGGUGCAAGCGUUAAUCGGAAUUACUGGGCGUAAAGCGUGCGCAGGCGGUUAUAUAAGACAGAUGUGAAAUCCCCGGGCUCAACCUGGGAACUGCAUUUGUGACUGUAUAGCUAGAGUACGGCAGAGGGGGAUGGAAUUCCGCGUGUAGCAGUGAAAUGCGUAGAUAUGCGGAGGAACACCGAUGGCGAAGGCAAUCCCCUGGGCCUGUACUGACGCUCAUGCACGAAAGCGUGGGGAGCAAACAGGAUUAGAUACCCGAGUAGUCCCUGUCUCUUAUAC